This 258-nucleotide ribosomal RNA is filed under the name uncultured bacterium. RNAcentral's name for it is "partial 16S ribosomal RNA". It matches the Rfam family "Bacterial small subunit ribosomal RNA", at positions 521 to 778 of the family's 1533-position model. The record is from RNAcentral.
UAAUACGGAGGGAGCUAGCGUUGUUCGGAAUUACUGGGCGUAAAGCGUACGUAGGCGGUUAUUCAAGUCAGAGGUGAAAGCCCGGGGCUCAACCCCGGAACGGCCUUUGAAACUAGGUAGCUAGAAUCUUGGAGAGGUCAGUGGAAUUCCGAGUGUAGAGGUGAAAUUCGUAGAUAUUCGGAAGAACACCAGUGGCGAAGGCGACUGACUGGACAAGUAUUGACGCUGAGGUACGAAAGCGUGGGGAGCAAACAGGAU